RNAcentral lists this ribosomal RNA (482 nucleotides) under uncultured bacterium. RNAcentral describes it as "partial 16S ribosomal RNA". It matches the Rfam family "Bacterial small subunit ribosomal RNA", at positions 28 to 523 of the family's 1533-position model. The record is from RNAcentral.
GACGAACGCUGGCGGCGUGCUUAACACAUGCAAGUCGAACGAUGAUGCCCAGCUUGCUGGGUGGAUUAGUGGCGAACGGGUGAGUAACACGUGAGUAACCUGCCCCUGACUCUGGGAUAAGCGUUGGAAACGACGUCUAAUACUGGAUAUGACUGCCGGCCGCAUGGUCUGGUGGUGGAAAGAUUUUUUGGUUGGGAAUGGACUCGCGGCCUAUCAGCUUGUUGGUGAGGUAAUGGCUCACCAAGGCGACGACGGGUAGCCGGCCUGAGAAGGUGACCGGCCACACUGGGACUGAGACGCGGCCCAGACUCCUACGGGAGGCAGCAGUGGGGAAUAUUGCACAAUGGGCGAAACCCUGAUGCAGCAACGCCGCGUGAGGGAUGACGGCCUUCGGGUUGUAAACCUCUUUUAGUAGGGAAGAAGCGAAAGUGACGGUACCUGCAGAAAAAGCACCGGCUAACUACGUGCCAGCCGCGCCGUAA